GUUUGCCAGACCCUAUCCAAGGGCACCAGCAGUGUGGGACAGAAGAGAGAAAGAAAGAACAUUUGAAAGACUCUCUUCAUACUGAUCUCCUUUUGGAAUUCUUCAAGGGCCUGUGGGAAGAAGGACCUCUCAGUAACCUGCUCUGAAGAAGGCCUGGGAGGAGACCCCACUGUCACUUGUGUUAUUAUUGCUAUUGUUUUGUUUGGGGUACCAAUGGAUUGAGUCCAGGGGGCAGUUAGCCACUGAGCCACAUCCCCAGCCAUUUUUAUUUUUUUAUUUUGGGACAGGGCUUCUCUAAAUUGCUGAGGCUGGCUUUGAUCUUACAAUCCUGCCUCAACCUCCCGAGCCACUGAGAUUACAGGCGUGUACCACCACAUCACUUUCAUAUGUUCUAAGUGUGUAUGGGACACUCAGUCUGGGUCUGGUGCUGCCCAAUGGACCUCAGUAAAACUUCAAGGAAGCUGGCAAAGAACAUGAAAGGAAAAAAGUGAAGAUGGUACCCUGCCCACAAGAAAUCAUGGGUUUUUUUGUCUUUGUGAGUCUCUGUCCUCCAAGGGUCAAUUGGGUAGGCAUAACAGCUAUUUAUUGAUGUGUCUGUCAUAGGCCAGGUAGGAAAUAUGAAACACUCUUCCAAAUGGAAAAAAAAAAUUAACAAGGAAUUGGUAUAUGGGUAAUGGAGACAAUAAGAAAGUAACAGAGCAGGAAGCAGCUUCCCUCCUUUAGGCUGGAAGACAGAAGGGUAUCCCAGCAUUAGAGACCAAGAAGCUCGCAAAGCUAUUUAGCGGGAACUAAAUAGUGGGGACUCCCCAGUAGGAAAUGGGAUUGUGGAAGGAGUAUAGAAAGAAAUAUAACCAGCCACAGGUGAUGCCAGAAAACAGAAUGGGAGAGAUGGCCUGGCGUCUUCUCUCCUCACCCACUUGUCAUUUACCAGUGCCUCCUAUUGGCUGAACCUAUGCAGAAGCCAGAGUAAAAGGAGUCUGGGAAAUGUAGUUCCCAAUACAUGGAAAGGGUGGAGAACAGAUACCAAAGUGAAUCAGCUGCUUACUGGCACAAGAAAAGAAGCCCAGUUCAGCCUGCUGAGGUUAAAAAGGAUCUGAGACAGUGGUUAUCUGUGCCUGCAAAGGGCAUGCAGCAACCUUUUGUAGUGCAAGAAAUGUUCUAGAGGGAUACACAGAAUCUUUGAGGUUGAAAAUUCACCAAUUCAUAUUUCCUACCUGUAUGUAUAAGAUUUGUGUACUUCAUACACUUCAUUCAUGUUUUAUCUCAACUAAAAGAGUCUCUUUCUUUUAGAGUAAAAGCCUGAAAUAUUUUUAAAUGAAAUGACAUGAUGUCUUGAAUGUGCUUCAUAAUAAUCAAGGGGGAUUAACAGAGCAUGUAUGUUAGUGUGGGAAGGAGGCAUACAAAGAAAUAAAACUGACCGUGAGUUGAAGGGGUAAUGAGGACAUAGC
RNAcentral lists this long non-coding RNA (1448 nucleotides) under Marmota monax (woodchuck). Lineage: Eukaryota; Metazoa; Chordata; Mammalia; Rodentia; Sciuridae. The record is from RNAcentral.